Molecule: ribosomal RNA, 553 nt
Filed under: uncultured euryarchaeote
Lineage: Archaea; Methanobacteriati; Methanobacteriota
Description: bacterial SSU rRNA
Rfam family: Archaeal small subunit ribosomal RNA
Source: RNAcentral
AUGGGGUGCAGCAGGCGCGAAACCUCCGCAAUGCGGGUAACCGCGACGGGGGGACCCCCAGUGCCGUGGCACAGCCACGGCUUUUCCGGAGUGUAAAAAGCUCCGGGAAUAAGGGCUGGGCAAGGCCGGUGGCAGCCGCCGCGGUAAUACCGGCGGCCCAAGUGGUGACCGCUAUUAUUGGGCCUAAAGCGUCCGUAGCCGGGCCCGUAAGUCCCUGGCGAAAUCCCACGGCUCAACCGUGGGGCUUGCUGGGGAUACUGCGGGCCUUGGGACCGGGAGAGGCCGGGGGUACCCCUGGGGUAGGGGUGAAAUCCUAUAAUCCCAGGGGGACCGCCAGUGGCGAAGGCGCCCGGCUGGAACGGGUCCGACGGUGAGGGACGAAGGCCAGGGGAGCGAACCGGAUUAGAUACCCGGGUAGUCCUGGCUGUAAAGGAUGCGGGCUAGGUGUCGGGCGAGCUUCGAGCUCGCCCGGUGCCGGAGGGAAGCCGUUAAGCCCGCCGCCUGGGGAGUACGGCCGCAAGGCUGAAACUUAAAGGAAUUGGCGGGGGAGCAC